RNAcentral lists this transfer RNA (69 nucleotides) under Deltaproteobacteria bacterium. RNAcentral describes it as "tRNA-Phe". It matches the Rfam family "tRNA", at positions 9 to 71 of the family's 71-position model. From Rfam's summary of the family: Transfer RNA (tRNA) molecules are approximately 80 nucleotides in length. Their secondary structure includes four short double-helical elements and three loops (D, anti-codon, and T loops). The record is from RNAcentral. Lineage: Bacteria; Pseudomonadati; Myxococcota; Myxococcia.
GGCUUUAUAUCUUCGAGCACGCGACUAAAAAUCGCGGUGUCGACAGUUCGAUUCUGUCCUGGGCCACCA